RNAcentral lists this ribosomal RNA (459 nucleotides) under uncultured bacterium. RNAcentral describes it as "partial 16S ribosomal RNA". It matches the Rfam family "Bacterial small subunit ribosomal RNA", at positions 338 to 795 of the family's 1533-position model. The record is from RNAcentral.
CCUACGGGUGGCAGCAGUGAGGAAUAUUGGUCAAUGGCCGCAGGGCUGAACCAGCCAAGUCGCGUGAGGGAUGACGGUCCUAUGGAUUGUAAACCUCUUUUGUCAGGGAGCAAAGUGCGCCACGUGUGGCGCUUUGCGAGUACCUGAAGAAAAAGCAUCGGCUAACUCCGUGCCAGCAGCCGCGGUAAUACGGAGGAUGCGAGCGUUAUCCGGAUUUAUUGGGUUUAAAGGGUGCGCAGGCGGAAUGUCAAGUCAGCGGUAAAAUUUCGGGGCUCAACCCCGUCGUGCCGUUGAAACUGGCAUUCUUGAGUGAGCGAGAGGUAUGCGGAAUGCGUGGUGUAGCGGUGAAAUGCAUAGAUAUCACGCAGAACUCCGAUUGCGAAGGCAGCAUACCGGCGCUCAACUGACGCUCAUGCACGAAAGCGUGGGUAUCGAAAAGGAUUAGAUACCCCUGUAGUC